CAGCUAGUUGGCGGGGUAAUGGCCCACCAAGGCGAUGAUCGGUAUCCGGCCUGAGAGGGCGCACGGACACACUGGAACUGAAACACGGUCCAGACUCCUACGGGAGGCAGCAGUGGGGAAUUUUGCGCAAUGGGGGAAACCCUGACGCAGCAACGCCGCGUGGAGGAUGAAAUCCCUUGGGAUGUAAACUCCUUUCGAUAGGGAAGAUAAUGACGGUACCUAUAGAAGAAGCCCCGGCUAACUUCGUGCCAGCAGCCGCGGUAAUACGAGGGGGGCAAGCGUUGUUCGGAAUUAUUGGGCGUAAAGGGUGCGUAGGCGGUUUGACAAGUCUUAUGUGAAAUCUUCGGGCUCAACCCGAAGUCUGCAUAGGAAACUGUCGGGCUUGAGUAUGGGAGAGGUGAGUGGAAUUUCCGGUGUAGCGGUGAAAUGCGUAGAUAUCGGAAGGAACACCUGUGGCGAAAGCGGCUCACUGGACCAUAACUGACGCUGAGGCACGAAAGCUAGGGGAGCAAACAGGAUUAGAUACCCUGGUAGUCCUAGCCCUAAACGAUGAUUGCUUGAUGUGGCAGGUACCCAAUCCUGCCGUGUCGAAGCUAACGCGAUAAGCAAUCCGCCUGGGGAGUACGGUCGCAAGGCUGAAACUCAAAGGAAU
RNAcentral lists this ribosomal RNA (652 nucleotides) under uncultured Acidobacteriota bacterium. RNAcentral's name for it is "SSU rRNA". It matches the Rfam family "Bacterial small subunit ribosomal RNA", at positions 242 to 910 of the family's 1533-position model. The record is from RNAcentral. Lineage: Bacteria; Pseudomonadati; Acidobacteriota.